GCUGGUUUAGCUUAUUGGUAAAGCCUCUGCAUCGUACGCAGGGAGAAGUAGGUUCAAUUCCUUUCAGCCAGCACCA
Molecule: transfer RNA, 76 nt
Filed under: Pantoea ananatis
Lineage: Bacteria; Pseudomonadati; Pseudomonadota; Gammaproteobacteria; Enterobacterales; Erwiniaceae
Also listed under: 1 other name
Description: tRNA-Thr
Rfam family: tRNA
About the family: Transfer RNA (tRNA) molecules are approximately 80 nucleotides in length.
Source: RNAcentral